This 68-nucleotide small RNA is filed under the name Lentibacillus halodurans. RNAcentral describes it as "Bacillaceae-1 RNA". It matches the Rfam family "Bacillaceae-1 RNA". Lineage: Bacteria; Bacillati; Bacillota; Bacilli; Caryophanales; Bacillaceae. The record is from Rfam by way of RNAcentral.
GAUAGAGGACCUUCUGCUAAAACCACCCACGUGCUGUAGGCAACGCAGAAGUCAUCACAUCCUGUGGG